Molecule: long non-coding RNA, 632 nt
Organism: Amphimedon queenslandica
Lineage: Eukaryota; Metazoa; Porifera; Demospongiae; Haplosclerida; Niphatidae
Exons: 3
Source: RefSeq, a predicted model, not a curated record
AUGAUGCACAAGGAUGGGAUGAGAGUAACAAUGGAGCACAAACAAAACAAGUUUAUGAUCAACCAUCAUAUAAAAACCUGUUAGACAAGAAGCCUCUAAAGAGUGACCUUCUUAGGUUGUUCAAAAAUUCUGAUGUUCAUAGUAAAAUUAUUGGUACUGCACUUGAUGUUAAAGUGAAUGAUCUGUCACCUUUUCCUCAGUAUACCUCAGAUAACCUCAUACUAGUGUUUGAGAGAUGGAUAGAGUCUGAUAUUGAUGUGACCUGGAGGAACAUACUUGAAGUUUGUGAAGAUUAUCCAGAUGAACUUGGACAAGCAAAAUCUGAUUUGGAGAGAUUCCUGUCUUCAGAUAGAGCCCGUAGAAAAUAUGAUAAGUAACAAUACAUUGACAUUGAGUUUUGAUUGAAUGCAUACACACAUGAUACUUUAAUGGACUAUACAUGACAUGCAUACAUUAUACUUAUUGCUAUUGUUACUGCCACUAUUAGUAUUAGUAUUAUCUUGGUAUUAUUAUUAUUUAUUGAAUUGUAAUUAUUGCUUCAUUGGUUCUGUUUUUGUAUUCUUGUAUUGUUUUUGUAUGUACUGGUAAAAAAUUAACAGAAAAAAUUUGAUUUCAGUUGAAAUCAGCUAAAA